This 253-nucleotide ribosomal RNA is filed under the name uncultured bacterium. Its description in RNAcentral is "partial 16S ribosomal RNA". It matches the Rfam family "Bacterial small subunit ribosomal RNA", at positions 524 to 776 of the family's 1533-position model. The record is from RNAcentral.
UACGAAGGGUGCAAGCGUUACUCGGAAUUACUGGGCGUAAAGCGUGCGUAGGUGGUUUGUUAAGUCUGAUGUGAAAGCCCUGGGCUCAACCUGGGAAUGGCAUUGGAUACUGGCGACCUAGAGUGCGGUAGAGGGGUGUGGAAUUCCCGGUGUAGCAGUGAAAUGCGUAGAUAUCGGGAGGAACAUCUGUGGCGAAGGCGACACCCUGGACCAGCACUGACACUGAGGCACGAAAGCUAGGGGAGCAAACGGG